Molecule: ribosomal RNA, 462 nt
Filed under: Vreelandella stevensii
Lineage: Bacteria; Pseudomonadati; Pseudomonadota; Gammaproteobacteria; Oceanospirillales; Halomonadaceae
Description: partial 16S ribosomal RNA
Rfam family: Bacterial small subunit ribosomal RNA
Source: RNAcentral
UAGGCGGCAGCAGUGGGGAAUAUUGGACAAUGGGCGAAAGCCUGAUCCAGCCAUGCCGCGUGUGUGAAGAAGGCCUUCGGGUUGUAAAGCACUUUCAGUGGGGAAGAAAGCCUUGGGGCUAAUACCCUCGAGGAAGGACAUCACCCACAGAAGAAGCACCGGCUAACUCCGUGCCAGCAGCCGCGGUAAUACGGGAGGGUGCGAGCGUUAAUCGGAAUUACUGGGCGUAAAGCGCGCGUAGGCGGUCUGAUAAGCCGGUUGUGAAAGCCCCGGGCUCAACCUGGGAACGGCAUCCGGAACGGUCAGGCUAGAGUGCAGGAGAGGAAGGUAGAAUUCCCGGUGUAGCGGUGAAAUGCGUAGAGAUCGGGAGGAAUACCAGUGGCGAAGGCGGCCUUCUGGACUGACACUGACGCUGAGGUGCGAAAGCGUGGGUAGCAAACAGGAUUAGAUACCCCGGUAGUC